Molecule: non-coding RNA, 75 nt
Filed under: Aspergillus terreus NIH2624
Lineage: Eukaryota; Fungi; Ascomycota; Eurotiomycetes; Eurotiales; Aspergillaceae
Source: RNAcentral
CCCUAGCAAGCUCACACCUUGACGUGGUGCUGGGGUUCAGUAGCCUGGUUUAUGCUAGGUGAAGCCAAGACGAGC